This 301-nucleotide ribosomal RNA is filed under the name uncultured bacterium. RNAcentral's name for it is "partial 16S ribosomal RNA". It matches the Rfam family "Bacterial small subunit ribosomal RNA", at positions 509 to 809 of the family's 1533-position model. The record is from RNAcentral.
CAGCCGCCGCGGUAAUACGAGGGGGGCAAGCGUUGUUCGGAAUUAUUGGGCAUAAAGGGUGCGUAGGCGGUUUGACAAGUCAUCUGUGAAAUCUAUGGGCUCAACCCAUAGUCUGCAUGGGAAACUGCGAGGCUUGAGGAUGGGAGAGGUGAGUGGAAUUUCCGGUGUAGCGGUGAAAUGCGUAGAUAUCGGAAGGAACACCUGUGGCGAAAGCGGCUCACUGGACCAUUUCUGACGCUGAUGCACGAAAGCUAGGGGAGCAAACAGGAUUAGAUACCCGCGUAGUCCCUGUCUCUUAUAU